GUUGAUGUCUAUAAGCUAUUCCACUUGAUGAAUGUAUGGAUUCAGUGCUGGAAUUAGCGGAGUGUGUGGAUCAGGGAAGUCAAGGCAGGAGGGGAAUCUGCGGGGAAAACCCAAUUGAGUGGCUUACCCGAGACUUCUGAAUGUCCAAGAUAUUAUUCCAUGGGAAGAUCAUCUUCAAUAUGAUCUCCUGGAUGAUGGUUUGAGUCUCCCACAGAGAGAUGUGGUUGUCCUGCUUCUCCAUGGCCUGGCCCAUCACUGACUCUGCAUUCUGAAGGUCUCUGGCUUGCUUGGAGCUGCCAAACUUUGGGUUCAGAUCUGGAAUUAGAUGGUUUUUAUUGAUGUCACUUGAAAAUCUGAUUGUCAACAUCAUGAAAACAGUGCUAGGAAAAGCCACAAAAUAUUGCACAAGACCCAGAAGGACUGAAAGUUGGAGGAUUUCUUUCAGGGGAUAUAUUGUUUUCACUGGUUUAUCAGACAGACCAUCACUUCCUGCAUCCCAGGGUUAUAAGGACAAGUUCAACUUGCAUCAUCCUUCUCCAUUUCCUCAGCUGGCAUUCAACUUCCAGUUGGAUGCAUCAUCUCCUGCAGCCUCACCCUGUGAGCAGUGUGGAAAGAUUCCAUUCCUG
This 626-nucleotide long non-coding RNA is filed under the name Junco hyemalis (dark-eyed junco). RNAcentral describes it as "lncRNA (ENSJHYG00000009174.1)". Lineage: Eukaryota; Metazoa; Chordata; Aves; Passeriformes; Passerellidae. The record is from RNAcentral.